This is a long non-coding RNA of Maniola jurtina (meadow brown), 349 nucleotides long. RefSeq lists it as uncharacterized. The transcript is spliced from 3 exons. NCBI's taxonomy places the organism in Eukaryota, Metazoa, Arthropoda, Insecta, Lepidoptera, Nymphalidae. The record is from RefSeq and is a predicted model, not a curated record.
AAGGGCACUUGGGUUUCAACUCGCUUAAAACCCGACGAGAGUGCGACCAAAUUGGUACAAUUUGCAAGAUUCUUAGGGGUGUGAUUGACUGCUCUGAGCUGCACAACAAGCUCUGCUCCGUUUAUGCACCCACUGAUUACAGCUACCUCCGCCGCCGCCGCAAGUUUUUCGUGAGUCCGUUUAGUCGCACGGUCGCGCGCGCCAGGUCUCCCAUACCGCGCACUUUGGCAGCGCUGAACGCGCUGCUGAAGGAGUCCCCUCGCUGUGACAUAUUUGCUGACAAAUGGGCUGACCUCAUAGGUCAGAUCCUGCACUUUUGUGAAAAUUUUUAUUUUUGCUUUUUAAACUA